UUCCGGUUGAUCCUGCCGGAGGCCACUGCUAUUGGGAUCCGAUUAAGCCAUGCGAGUUAUGGGUUCUUCGUGAACCCGGCAAACUGCUCAGUAACACGUGGACAACCUACCCUUGGGACCAGUAUAACCCCGGGAAACUGGGGAUAAUACUGGAUAAGCCAUAGGUGCUGGAAUGCCCUAUGGUUGAAAGGCUCCGGCGCCCAUGGAUGGGGUCUGCGGCCGAUUAGGUUGUUGCUAGGGUAACGACCUAGCAAGCCUGUAAUCGGUACGGGCUCUGAGAGGAGGAGCCCGGAGACGGACUCUGAGACACGAGUCCGGGCCCUACGGGGCGCAGCAGGCGCGAAACCUUUACAAUGUGCGAAAGCAUGAUAAGGAGAUCCCAAGUGCCAGCGCACUGCGUUGGCUUUUCUCCAGCCUAAAAAGCUGGAAGUAAUAACGAGCGGGCAAGACCGGUGCGAGCCGCCGCGGUAACACCGGCGGUCCUAGUGAUGACCACUUUC
RNAcentral lists this ribosomal RNA (500 nucleotides) under uncultured Methanomicrobia archaeon. Its description in RNAcentral is "bacterial SSU rRNA". It matches the Rfam family "Archaeal small subunit ribosomal RNA", at positions 1 to 502 of the family's 1478-position model. Lineage: Archaea; Methanobacteriati; Methanobacteriota; Methanomicrobia. The record is from RNAcentral.